CAGGAUUUUUAGUUUACCAUCUUAUUCUGCAGAAUCCAAAAUAUGAUUAAAAGUUUCACACGAUCUAAUAAAUGAACAUCAACUGAUAUUUAAUCAGUUCACAAGCAGAUCAUUACUACAUGAUGCUACAUACAUAAAUGUUUAUCUGUCAGUGUGCAGGAGGAAACAUGAUGACUCCAUGUGACUGACUGAGUGUGUUUGCAUAUGUGUCCUGCCUCUCUGCUCCUCCAGCUGUUAAAGGUCAGAGUUGAUCAGUGGCUGUCCAGGCCUUUCAGAGCCACUGACACACCAGCAGCACAAUGAUGAUGUCACUGACUCUACUGCUGACCAUCCUGGGGCUCCUGGUUCAGGGUUCAUCAGGAGACAUAAUUAUGACUCAGACUCCAGGAUCUCUGUCUGUUGAUGCAGGACAGAGAGUCUCCAUUAAAUGUAAAGCUAGUGAAAGUGUCAGCGAUGAGGUAGACUGGUACCUCCAGAAACCUGGAGAAGCUCCUAAACUCCUGAUUUAUCAUGUUUCAAAUCGUCAGCCUGGAGUUCCUGAUCGUUUCAGUGGGACUAAGUCUGGAACUGAUUUCACUCUGACCAUCAGCAGAGUUCAGGCUGAAGAUGCAGGAGUUUAUUACUGUCAGCAGGAUUGGAGCUUUCCGUUCACACAGUGA
This is a non-coding RNA of Poecilia reticulata (guppy), 659 nucleotides long. The record is from the annotation of a RefSeq genome assembly. NCBI's taxonomy places the organism in Eukaryota, Metazoa, Chordata, Actinopteri, Cyprinodontiformes, Poeciliidae.